Non-coding RNA from Cordylochernes scorpioides, 67 nucleotides. The record is from the annotation of a GenBank genome assembly. Lineage: Eukaryota; Metazoa; Arthropoda; Arachnida; Pseudoscorpiones; Chernetidae.
GUGCCUAGUGGACAUGGCAUCUGCCCGGUAAGCGGAACACUGUGGGUUCGAUUCCCAUCCCUGGACA